This 1267-nucleotide ribosomal RNA is filed under the name metagenome. RNAcentral's name for it is "bacterial SSU rRNA". It matches the Rfam family "Bacterial small subunit ribosomal RNA", at positions 8 to 1296 of the family's 1533-position model. The record is from RNAcentral.
AGAGUUUGGUCCUGGCUCAGGACGAACGCUGGCGGCGCGCCUAACACAUGCAAGUCGAACGAGCGAGAGAGAGCUUGCUUUCUUGAGCGAGUGGCGAACGGGUGAGUAACGCGUGAGGAACCUGCCUCAAAGAGGGGGACAACAGUUGGAAACGACUGCUAAUACCGCAUAAGUCCACGGCUCGGCAUCGAGCAGAGGGAAAAGGAGCAAUCCGCUUUGAGAUGGCCUCGCGUCCGAUUAGCUAGUUGGUGAGGUAACGGCCCACCAAGGCGACGAUCGGUAGCCGGACUGAGAGGUUGAACGGCCACAUUGGGACUGAGACACGGCCCAGACUCCUACGGGAGGCAGCAGUGGGGAAUAUUGCACAAUGGGGGAAACCCUGAUGCAGCGACGCCGCGUGGAGGAAGAAGGUCUUCGGAUUGUAAACUCCUGUUGUUGAGGAAGAUAAUGACGGUACUCAACAAGGAAGUGACGGCUAACUACGUGCCAGCAGCCGCGGUAAAACGUAGGUCACAAGCGUUGUCCGGAAUUACUGGGUGUAAAGGGAGCGCAGGCGGGAAGACAAGUUGGAAGUGAAAUCCAUGGGCUCAACCCAUGAACUGCUUUCAAAACUGUUUUUCUUGAGUAGUGCAGAGGUAGGCGGAAUUCCCGGUGUAGCGGUGGAAUGCGUAGAUAUCGGGAGGAACACCAGUGGCGAAGGCGGCCUACUGGGCACCAACUGACGCUGAGGCUCGAAAGUGUGGGUAGCAAACAGGAUUAGAUACCCUGGUAGUCCACACUGUAAACGAUGAUUACUAGGUGUUGGAGGAUUGACCCCUUCAGUGCCGCAGUUAACACAAUAAGUAAUCCACCUGGGGAGUACGACCGCAAGGUUGAAACUCAAAGGAAUUGACGGGGGCCCGCACAAGCAGUGGAGUAUGUGGUUUAAUUCGACGCAACGCGAAGAACCUUACCAAGUCUUGACAUCCUGCGACGCACAUAGAAAUAUGUGUUUCCUUCGGGACGCAGAGACAGGUGGUGCAUGGUUGUCGUCAGCUCGUGUCGUGAGAUGUUGGGUUAAGUCCCGCAACGAGCGCAACCCUUAUGGUCAGUUACUACGCAAGAGGACUCUGGCCAGACUGCCGUUGACAAAACGGAGGAAGGUGGGGAUGACGUCAAAUCAUCAUGCCCUUUAUGACUUGGGCUACGCACGUACUACAAUGGCGUUAAACAAAGAGAAGCAAGACCGCGAGGUGGAGCAAAACUCAGAAACAACGUCCCAGUUCGG